GAAAUUUCAUCCGCACUAGCGAUAGUAGUUUCCCCGGAAAGAUAUAAAAGUGUCGGGGAAAAGUUUAAUUUAUAAUAUUCAUUAUUAUAUAUGUGCUCCUUUUUUAUUAAUUUUUUUGAGGAUAAGCUCAAAAAAAAGUUAAGAUAUUUUUAGUCAAAAUUACUGUGUGGGCUUAAAAUCGGCCACCCAUAAAAGUUUGUUAUAAAAUAGUAACCUUAAUUUAAAAAAUAAAUAUAUUUUAAUCUAAGCCUUACGGGGAUAAGAACUUUAACUAAAAUUAAGUUUUAUACCUAUGCUAGAAUGAGUAUUAAAACUUAAUUACAAAAGAAAUACUAUUUUAUUUUCUUCUAAAAAUUUUUUAGGAAAAAAUUAAUUAAUUAGAAGGAAUUCGGCAAGUUUAGUCUUCGCCUGUUUAUCAAAAACAUGGCUCUUUGCUUACACAAGUAUAGAGAGUCGAGCCUGCCC
This 465-nucleotide ribosomal RNA is filed under the name Semisulcospira libertina. RNAcentral's name for it is "partial 16S ribosomal RNA". Lineage: Eukaryota; Metazoa; Mollusca; Gastropoda; Semisulcospiridae. The record is from RNAcentral.